This 451-nucleotide ribosomal RNA is filed under the name uncultured bacterium. Its description in RNAcentral is "bacterial SSU rRNA". It matches the Rfam family "Bacterial small subunit ribosomal RNA", at positions 354 to 796 of the family's 1533-position model. The record is from RNAcentral.
GUGGGGAAUUUUGCGCAAUGGGGGAAACCCUGACGCAGCAACGCCGCGUGAGUGAUGAAGGCCUUCGGGUCGUAAAGCUCUUUUAGUGGGGAAGAAUCCCACCCGGGCUAAUACCUCGGGUGUCUGACGGUACCCACAGAAAAAGUUCCGGCUAACUACGUGCCAGCAGCCGCGGUAAUACGUAGGGAGCAAGCGUUGUUCGGAAUUAUUGGGCGUAAAGAGCGCGUAGGCGGUUCGGUAAGUCUGACGUGAAAUCCCAGAGCUUAACUCUGGAACUGCGUUGGAUACUGCCGAGCUUGAGUGUGGGAGAGGAGAGUGGAAUUCCCAGUGUAGAGGUGAAAUUCGUAGAUAUUGGGAGGAACACCCGUGGCGAAGGCGGCUCUCUGGACCACAACUGACGCUGAGGCGCGAAAGCUAGGGUAGCAAACGGGAUUAGAUACCCCAGUAGUCC